Molecule: long non-coding RNA, 200 nt
Filed under: Homo sapiens (human)
Lineage: Eukaryota; Metazoa; Chordata; Mammalia; Primates; Hominidae
Description: HSALNT0211291
Source: RNAcentral
GCUCCGGUGGCACUUGGCUGUCCAGAAGAUGGGUAGGCCCCAGGGCCGCUGGGUGGCCCUGGGUAGACUCCAGGUGCAGGUGCUCCGGGAUAAGCUCCAGGCCAUCCUUGAGGGUUUGGGUUUCCAGACCCAGAUAACGCAUCAUGGAGCUGGAAAGAAAGACAUACACAAUUACGGGACAGAAAGCAUUCUCAAAAGCA